Molecule: long non-coding RNA, 1061 nt
Filed under: Mus musculus (house mouse)
Lineage: Eukaryota; Metazoa; Chordata; Mammalia; Rodentia; Muridae
Description: long non-coding RNA chr17:33303602-33304663
Source: RNAcentral
AUUUAACUUGCUUUUUUUAAUGAAUGAGAUUUCUUUUUUUUUUAACGCGAAAAUAUCUCAAUCUUUAUUUUUAAGGAUAAUUGUCAUUAAUACAGGAAGAACUGAUAUUAUAAAAAUCAGAAAACAUUAGCAUUCAAUAAACAAAAAUUAACUGAAGGCUGAUCAGGAACAUAUGCUUGGCAUUGGAAGAAGGAUGUAUGCUAAUCUUCUUAAACAAUUGCUAGAAAGUAAAAAAAAAAAAAGUUCUAACAGGGCUACAGUGUGCUGGGCAGUAACUUGUAGAUAAACAUGUUUUAGACAAUGGGUGGUAUUCAAAGCUCAGUCUAUGACAUGGUAGUUCUUCAGCCGGAAGUAAGUCGAGGUUUCCUGGUAACAGAGUUUAUUCAUGCAGACGCUGUGAGGCCACUGGCAUGAUUCAACACAAACCAUUCCCAUUUCAAGAAAGCAAGUGACAGAGCAGUGACAGCAUCAGCCUCUCAAGGAGUGCGGUCAGGAGCAGGAGGUCUGCAGUUUCUCACUUUGGAUUCCUUUACAUCUCUAAGAAUAUGGUAAGAAACAAAAAAGUACAAAAACAAAAAAGCCACAUGGAGACCUUCUCACCCUUUACUAACAUAGCAGAAGGAAAGAAACAAACAAAAGCGGGUUGUCGCUAAAGCCUUCAACACUACAAUAGACUGUGAGUCGAAAAAGAAAAGCCACAGUCCUGUUGCUUGGAGAAUGGAUCGAACUAGAGAACAUUACAGUAGGCACAGGAAAGUGGAUGCGGAAAAAUAACCAAGGACACUGUCUGUCAUUCACAGCCGCUAGGGGCAACAUUUUAAAUGGAGGGGGAACUCUCUGGGAUAAAAGGAGAACCAGGAGGAGGCGGGCGAGGGUAAGGGUGGGUGUGAUCAGAGCACAUCAUACAGGUACCUCAUACACAUUGGAGAAAAGGAAGCUCAUUACCUCAUACAAUAUACACUAAUAAAAACCAAAAUCUAUGAAUGUGAAUGCAUUUUACUAUGUCAAAUACUGAGUCAAUGCUGAUACUAAUGGUUAAUAAACUACAAAACAUUAAAAAC